Molecule: ribosomal RNA, 182 nt
Filed under: Staphylococcus aureus
Lineage: Bacteria; Bacillati; Bacillota; Bacilli; Caryophanales; Staphylococcaceae
Description: partial 23S rRNA
Rfam family: Bacterial large subunit ribosomal RNA
Source: RNAcentral
GAUUAAGUUAUUAAGGGCGACGGUGGUGCCUUGGCACUAGAAGCCGUGAAGGACGUUACUAACGAUAUGCUUUGGGGAGCUGUAAGUAAGCUUUGAUCCAGAGAUUUCCGAAUGGGGAAACCCAGCAUGAGUAUGUCAUGUUAUCGAUAUGUGAAUACAUAGCAUAUCAGAAGGCACACCCG